UACAGAGGUCUCAAGCGUUGUUCGGAUUCAUUGGGCGUAAAGGGUGCGUAGGUGGUGGGGUAAGUCGGAUGUGAAAUCCCGGGGCUCAACCCCGGAACUGCAUUCGAUACUGCCUUGCUCGAGUACUGGAGAGGAGACUGGAAUUUACGGUGUAGCAGUGAAAUGCGCAGAUAUCAGGAGGAACACCGAUGGCGAAGGCAGGUCUCUGGGCCACUACUGACGCUGAGAAGCGAAAGCAUGGGGAGCGAACAGG
This 253-nucleotide ribosomal RNA is filed under the name uncultured bacterium. Its description in RNAcentral is "partial 16S ribosomal RNA". It matches the Rfam family "Bacterial small subunit ribosomal RNA", at positions 524 to 776 of the family's 1533-position model. The record is from RNAcentral.